UACAGAGGGCCCAAGCGUUGUUCGGAUUCAUUGGGCGUAAAGGGUGCGUAGGCGGCUCGGUAAGUCGGGUGUGAAAUCUCGGGGCUUAACUCCGAAACUGCAUUCGAUACUGCCGUGCUUGAGGACUGGAGAGGAGACUGGAAUUUACGGUGUAGCGGUGAAAUGCGUAGAUAUCGUAAGGAAGACCAGUGGCGAAGGCGGGUCUCUGGACAGUUCCUGACGCUGAGGCACGAAGGCCUGGGGAGCAAACGGG
This 253-nucleotide ribosomal RNA is filed under the name uncultured bacterium. RNAcentral's name for it is "partial 16S ribosomal RNA". It matches the Rfam family "Bacterial small subunit ribosomal RNA", at positions 524 to 776 of the family's 1533-position model. The record is from RNAcentral.